AACAUCGCCUCUUGAACCCUUAUAAGAGGUCCAGCCUGCCCAGUGACUCUGUUCAACGGCCGCGGUAUCCUAACCGUGCGAAGGUAGCGUAAUCACUUGUUCUUUAAAUGUGGACUAGUAUGAAUGGCAUCACGAAGGUUAUACUGUCUCCUUUUUCUAAUCAGUGAAACUAAUCUCCCCGUGAAGAAGCGAGGAUAAAACUAUAAGACGAGAAGACCCUAUGGAGCUUUAAACAUUUAUAACACUUGCUAAAUAAAAUACAAAUUUCAGAAUUAUUUACUCUUUAAGCAACUUGUCUAUAAGUUUUUGGUUGGGGUGACCGCGGAGCAUAAUACAACCUCCAUGUUGAAAGAUCUAUUUCUAAGCUAAGAGCUACACCUCUAAGCAUCAACAUAUUGACAUCCAUUGACCCAAUAUAUUUGAACAACGAACCAAGUUACCCUAGGGAUAACAGCGCAAUCCACUUCAAGAGCUCCUAUCGACAAGUGGGUUUACGACCUCGAUGUUGGAUCAGGGUUUCCCAGUGGUGCAGCCGCUACUAAAGGUUCGUUUGUUCAACGAUUAAAACCCUAC
This is a ribosomal RNA of 573 nucleotides. It matches the Rfam family "Bacterial large subunit ribosomal RNA", at positions 1812 to 2599 of the family's 2925-position model.